GAUGAACGCUGGCGGCGUGCCUAAUACAUGCAAGUCGAGCGAACGGACGAGAAGCUUGCUUCUCUGAUGUUAGCGGCGGACGGGUGAGUAACACGUGGAUAACCUACCUAUAAGACUGGGAUAACUUCGGGAAACCGGAGCUAAUACCGGAUAAUAUUUUGAACCGCAUGGUUCAAAAGUGAAAGACGGUCUUGCUGUCACUUAUAGAUGGAUCCGCGCUGCAUUAGCUAGUUGGUAAGGUAACGGCUUACCAAGGCAACGAUGCAUAGCCGCCCUGAGAGGGUGAUCGGCCACACUGGAACUGGGACACGGUCCAGACUCCUACGGGAGGCAGCAGUAGGGAAUCUUCCGCAAUGGGCGAAAGCCUGACGGAGCAACGCCGCGUGAGUGAUGAAGGUCUUCGGAUCGUAAAACUCUGUUAUUAGGGAAGAACAUAUGUGUAAGUAACUGUGCACAUCUUGACGGUACCUAAUCAGAAAGCCACGGCUAACUACGUG
This 497-nucleotide ribosomal RNA is filed under the name uncultured bacterium. RNAcentral's name for it is "partial 16S ribosomal RNA". It matches the Rfam family "Bacterial small subunit ribosomal RNA", at positions 28 to 507 of the family's 1533-position model. The record is from RNAcentral.